Molecule: long non-coding RNA, 736 nt
Organism: Xiphophorus couchianus (Monterrey platyfish)
Lineage: Eukaryota; Metazoa; Chordata; Actinopteri; Cyprinodontiformes; Poeciliidae
Exons: 3
Source: RefSeq, a predicted model, not a curated record
CUAGGUCCAGCUCCGAGCCAGAGGAAAAUAAAUUGCCUGCCUGGAGGUUUUAGUCAGUUUCAGUUUACACAGCACCUUCUGUUGAGUCUACCUUUCAGAGAUUAAUUACCAAAUAAUCUUAUUUUUACCACUAGCAUAAAAGCAGUCUUUAACUUUGUCGGAGCCACUACAUUUGCCUAUUUGCCUUCCAGAGACAACGGAGGGGUGUUGCUAGUUCAACUAGUUCAAAUGAGGCCUUAAUUUACUUUAACUGCUUUUUGUUUAGGUCACUUCAGCCUGGGAGAACCAGAGUUUGAGCUAAAACAGCGUCUUAUUCUUGCAGGUGGAUGUCCAGAGAGAUGAGCCAGUCGUUUUCCUUUCAGAUGUCGGCUUGAAGGUUCCAGCCAAUUCACCCGUGAAUUAGAUUUGAGCCCCCUGAUAUUCGCGGGGGGUUAGGCAUCACAAUCGCUACCGAAUAGCUGAAAUCCAUGCCAAUAGCAUGUCAAGCAAAGACUAUUUGGUGUUCUGUGGGUCUGCACCAGGAUUUCCUCUGUGUGGCGCAUGCCUGGAAAACCCUCAAAGGCAAGGAGAGAGAACCUUCUGACCAGAAGGAGAGAGAACCUCCUCAACUCUCCCCACAUGACAGAGUUUGGUCUAUUUCUACAGCUGAGUUUCACCAUCUUAUGAAAGAAGUCCAUUUCAGCAGGUUGGACAUGGAACCCUGUUCUUUAAGUCAUUUCCAUAUCUCUUGACCAUG